Molecule: ribosomal RNA, 505 nt
Filed under: uncultured bacterium
Lineage: Bacteria
Description: partial 16S ribosomal RNA
Rfam family: Bacterial small subunit ribosomal RNA
Source: RNAcentral
GACGAACGCUGGCGGCGUGCCUAAUACAUGCAAGUAGAACGCACAGUUUAUACCGUAGCUUGCUACACCAUAGACUGUGAGUUGCGAACGGGUGAGUAACGCGUAGGUAACCUGCCUGGUAGCGGGGGAUAACUAUUGGAAACGAUAGCUAAUACCGCAUAAUAUUAAUUAUUGCAUGAUAAUUAAUUGAAAGGUGCAAUUGCACCACUACCAGAUGGACCUGCGUUGUAUUAGCUAGUAGGUGAGGUAACGGCUCACCUAGGCGACGAUACAUAGCCGACCUGAGAGGGUGAGCGGCCACACUGGGACUGAGACACGGCCCAGACUCCUACGGGAGGCAGCAGUAGGGAAUCUUCGGCAAUGGACGAAAGUCUGACCGAGCAACGCCGCGUGAGUGAAGAAGGUUUUCGGAUCGUAAAGCUCUCUUGUAAGAGAAGAACGGGUGUGAGAGUGGAAAGUUCACACUGUGACGGUAUCUUACCAGAAAGGGACGGCUAACUACGUG